UACACAUGGGCUAACUUAGAUCA
Molecule: non-coding RNA, 23 nt
Filed under: Rattus norvegicus (Norway rat)
Lineage: Eukaryota; Metazoa; Chordata; Mammalia; Rodentia; Muridae
Source: RNAcentral